This 394-nucleotide ribosomal RNA is filed under the name uncultured bacterium. RNAcentral's name for it is "partial 16S ribosomal RNA". It matches the Rfam family "Bacterial small subunit ribosomal RNA", at positions 338 to 730 of the family's 1533-position model. The record is from RNAcentral.
CCUACGGGUGGCAGCAGUGAGGAAUAUUGGUCAAUGGCCGGAAGCCUGAACCAGCCAUGCCGCGUGAAGGUCAGUGCCCUAUGGGCGUUAAACUUCUUUUUUGCGGGAGCAAUAUUGCUCACCUGUGGCCAGACGCGAGUACCUUAUGAAUAAGGAUCGGCUAACUCCGUGCCAGCCGCCGCGGUAAUACGGAGGAUCCGGGCGUUAUCCGGAUUUUUUGGGGUUAAAGGGGGCGGAGGCGGGAAUUCACGUCUGCGGGGAAAGUCUGUGGCUCAAACCUUGGAUUGCCGUUGAAACUGGGGGUCUUGAGUGUGUGUGAGGUAUGCGGAAUGCGUGGUGUAGCGGUGAAAUGCAUAGAUAUCACGCAGAACCCCGAUUGCGGAGGCAGCCUGCC